Molecule: ribosomal RNA, 1356 nt
Filed under: Enterobacter hormaechei
Lineage: Bacteria; Pseudomonadati; Pseudomonadota; Gammaproteobacteria; Enterobacterales; Enterobacteriaceae
Also listed under: 1 other name
Description: partial 23S ribosomal RNA
Rfam family: Bacterial large subunit ribosomal RNA
Source: RNAcentral
UGUGAACUCGAAGAGUAGGGCGGGACACGUGGUAUCCUGUCUGAAUAUGGGGGGACCAUCCUCCAAGGCUAAAUACUCCUGACUGACCGAUAGUGAACCAGUACCGUGAGGGAAAGGCGAAAAGAACCCCGGCGAGGGGAGUGAAAAAGAACCUGAAACCGUGUACGUACAAGCAGUGGGAGCACCUUCGGGUGUGACUGCGUACCUUUUGUAUAAUGGGUCAGCGACUUAUAUUCUGUAGCAAGGUUAACCGUAUAGGGGAGCCGAAGGGAAACCGAGUCUUAACUGGGCGUUAAGUUGCAGGGUAUAGACCCGAAACCCGGUGAUCUAGCCAUGGGCAGGUUGAAGGUUGGGUAACACUAACUGGAGGACCGAACCGACUAAUGUUGAAAAAUUAGCGGAUGACCUGUGGCUGGGGGUGAAAGGCCAAUCAAACCGGGAGAUAGCUGGUUCUCCCCGAAAGCUAUUUAGGUAGCGCCUCGUGAACUCAUCUUCGGGGGUAGAGCACUGUUUCGGCUAGGGGGCCAUCCCGGCUUACCAACCCGAUGCAAACUACGAAUACCGAAGAAUGUUAUCACGGGAGACACACGGCGGGUGCUAACGUCCGUCGUGAAGAGGGAAACAACCCAGACCGCCAGCUAAGGUCCCAAAGUCAUGGUUAAGUGGGAAACGAUGUGGGAAGGCACAGACAGCCAGGAUGUUGGCUUAGAAGCAGCCAUCAUUUAAAGAAAGCGUAAUAGCUCACUGGUCGAGUCGGCCUGCGCGGAAGAUGUAACGGGGCUAAACCAUGCACCGAAGCUGCGGCAGCGACACUAUGUGUUGUUGGGUAGGGGAGCGUUCUGUAAGCCGUUGAAGGUGUGCUGUGAGGCAUGCUGGAGGUAUCAGAAGUGCGAAUGCUGACAUAAGUAACGAUAAAGCGGGUGAAAAGCCCGCUCGCCGGAAGACCAAGGGUUCCUGUCCAACGUUAAUCGGGGCAGGGUGAGUCGACCCCUAAGGCGAGGCCGAAAGGCGUAGUCGAUGGGAAACAGGUUAAUAUUCCUGUACUUGGUGUUACUGCGAAGGGGGGACGGAGAAGGCUAUGUCAGCCGGGCGACGGUUGUCCCGGUUUAAGCAUGUAGGCGGAGGUUCCAGGUAAAUCCGGUACCUUAUUAACGCUGAGGUGUGAUGACGAGGCACUACGGUGCUGAAGUGAUAAAUGCCCUGCUUCCAGGAAAAGCCUCUAAGCAUCAGGUAACACGAAAUCGUACCCCAAACCGACACAGGUGGUCAGGUAGAGAAUACCAAGGCGCUUGAGAGAACUCGGGUGAAGGAACUAGGCAAAAUGGUGCCGUAACUUCGGGAGAAGGCACGCUGAUA